CCUCAUCACGCAACGUACAGUCAUGCGAUCAUUAAGCCACUUUACGUCAUUGUCUCUCACAGCACGAGGAGCAUUGGCUGCAGGUUCUUCAGGUGCCUGAUCUGUAAGGAUAUACAAAAUCCUCUCGUGCUCCAAUAUGAUCUUCAACUUUCGAUACCAGCUAUCGAAGUUGGGUCCGGUGAGCUUAUCGUUGUCCAACAGUGAACGGAGGGAUAGUGUGUUGGCCAUAACUAAAAGAAAAAAAUAUUAGCCUAUUAGUAUAUGAAUAUUUUUUUUUUAAUCAUGAAGACAUGGACUUUAGUCCAAAGGUCCUCUCACUAUUUUUUGUGAAUUGGUAGUC
This 340-nucleotide long non-coding RNA is filed under the name Elaeis guineensis (African oil palm). RNAcentral describes it as "long non-coding RNA (EGUI_LNC068424)". Lineage: Eukaryota; Viridiplantae; Streptophyta; Magnoliopsida; Arecales; Arecaceae. The record is from RNAcentral.